Lactuca sativa (garden lettuce) is the source of this 4249-nucleotide long non-coding RNA. RefSeq lists it as uncharacterized. The record is from RefSeq and is a predicted model, not a curated record. NCBI's taxonomy places the organism in Eukaryota, Viridiplantae, Streptophyta, Magnoliopsida, Asterales, Asteraceae.
UACACCAUUUUCUUGAAGAUUCCUGGAAGUGUAUGCAAAUUACUGUAUGUUUAAUAUACAGAUUGUACAAAUGACAGCAUUUGGUGGUUCGGCGAAGAAGGAGGCGAGAGCAAAAAGGCAACUGAUUCCAACGGAGCUAGCAAGAUUUCAAACAAAGAAACUUAGGGUUUCUUGCUUUCUUCCCCACUUCUAUUUCAAUAUCCACGUCGUUUUUCUCACAGGAGAAUCCAAUAAUUCACCCGACAAAGGGAGAAAGAGGAGGCGACCAAAGGAGACCGUAGACCACCGAACAUCGCCACUCAGGUUAGAGCUAUCAAAAUCCAUCACCUUCUACUAUAUUGAAGCAUUCAAAGACGAUUUUAGAACACGAUAUGUCUUCAUCUUAAGCAUUCAUCAUAUUCUUCCAAUUUUCUUCAGCUAAAAUCAUGAUUAUACUUCUGCCUGUCUUUAUUUAUCUGGAAUUUUAUGUUUUGGGGUUCAAAUCGUAGGAAAAUGGUAAAGCAGAAGCAUAAUCGAGAAAACUUUAGUAACUGUAGUGUGUUUGAGUUGUGCUGGUGAUGGUGGUCCUGGUAAAAAAAUAGAAGAUGAUGAGCAGGCGAGUUUGAAGCGCUUAUGAACUCAAACAUCUGUUUCUUAAUAAUGCACAUCACCCAUUCCUUAGAACCUUCAUACAUGCUAAGAAAACAAAAAUGUAAAUAUGGAGAUAUUUGUUCUUCAUCAAUCUUAGUUUCGAACCGAAUGUAUCCCUACACCUGCUCAAUGGGAGGAUAAUAUGGAAGGUCACUGACGUUGCAUAUGGCACCUCUUUCCUUGAGGUUUUUAUCACAAGGAAUAGGAAAGGAGAAAACAAACAUCAGGUCAUUUUAUAUAUUUAUGUCAGAUUUUGUUAACUUUUUUUAUGUGAUUCUUGACUUAUUUUACCAUGUGAUUGAAUUUGCAUGAGCAGAUUUGCGUUUGGAAUUGAAAGGAAAUCAUCUUCAAGCAAAUUAAAUAUUUGUUUCCAUAUAAUAGUGUCUCUUAGAAAAGUAUUCAAGUCACGUCUAUGUUGCUUGCGAUGCUUCAACAUAUCUUCAAUUAAUUCUUUCUUCUUUGUUGGAAUUGGCAGAACUAAUUAGUAGCCAGGGUAGUUCAUUCAUUCGUUUCUAGAGUCCUCUAUAUUUAAGAAUGCUCACCACAUGUUUGUGAAAUUGCAGAAACUUAUACCUACUGUGGUGGUGACAAUGAUGACGAGAAUCAGGGGUUGGGUUUGGAUUCUUGCUUCCAAUUCCAUGUUUAGUUUGCAAAAUUGCAUCUAAGUCAAGAGAAUUACGAGUCGGGUUUGCACUUUGCCUCUAUCAUCAUAUAGCUACUCGAAAGUUCUUCUCUAAUUAACAGUUUAUAUGAGGGGUCUUUUGUGACAUCCCCAAUUUUACGGCCAGAAAAUACCGGUUUAAUUUAUGCUUUUAAAAUAAUUUCAGAGUAAUCAUUUGAUUAAAAAUGUUGCGGAAUUUGUUCUCAGAAAAACAUGAUAAAUAUGUUAUCAAAUCAUUUCCGAAGAAAUGUAUUUUAUUCACUUAAACCAUUGGGAUGUCAUUGUCAAUACAAAAACAUAAGCAUAAACAAAACUUACAUUCAUUUACACUAGUGAUCUACUUCUCUUUUAAUCUCUCAGUGUAAAGCAACUUCGUAUCGAUACCUAUGAUACAAUUAAACUGAGUGGGUCAGGCUUGGGAGCCUGGUGAGCAUAUAGGGUUUUCACCCCACAAUAAAUAAAUUUAUUAUGCUUAAACAUCAAACAAUCAACCCAAUUACCCAAUCCCCAUUAUCUUAUUCAUUUCUUUAGGAUUUACCUUAAGAAUCAACUAUCACUCAUUCCUAAGGAUUCAUCUUAAGGAAUAGGCACGAAGUCCAUCGCUUCCCAAGGUUUAUAUUACGAGCACUAACAACAUCGAUCCCCACAUACUCAUCCUAUACAAUGAUCUUACUAGAUCUAGCCUAAAGGAUCGAUAUGAACAACCAACUAACGAAACUGCUUCGGAAAUUCCCUAGCAGCAAACGAGGAUUGAAGAAGACAUCAAAUUAAUGGAAUAAGUUUAACCACGAACCUUUGUUCGUAAAAAAAAGAACCACCAAACAAUUAAGUCAGGGGUAAUUAUUAAUGCCUAGGCUGUGGUCUGAAUAUCGUGAGGUAUGUAACUCCCAGACGCACCCUAUCCAACAUCGAACUUUGCCUAGGCUCUGGUCUGAAUAUCUUGAGGUAUAUAACCCCCAGAUGCACCCCUAUCCGGCAUCGAGAAUGGAAACACUAACUCAUGAAGCUCGUCUGAUCACUUCAUAAAAGAAACAAAGACUCCAAAGCUCUUCAAAAUAAAAGUAUAGGGAAAAUACUAAUAAAGUAUUCCCGUACGCUCCCAUACCCCGACACGUAAUAGUGUCAAAAAGAAGAACUAAUGGAUGAACGCAUAGUUCAAAAACACCUAAUGAACAUAUAGUUCGAGAACACCUUAUGAACAUAUAGUUCAAACAUACCUACCGAUUACGAGUCUGCUAACGUUCCACUGGACUAUCUAAAGUAGUCUGUGGCCGUUGUCUAUCCUCUGCUAUAUGACUAGAUCAUCUUAAACAUCGAUACCUCUCAUCACUUUUAUUUCAUCACACAUCAUCUAAUUCAUCUACCUAUGUUUUACCCAACAUAUUUGUAGAUAAAAAUACAUAUACAAUUUAAAACUUGUAUAAAACAUUUAUUCAACAGUCACCUUAAUUAAACGAUUAAUAUAAUUACACUUAUCACGUGUUUUAAAGAAAAUACUUCAUAUAUAUGUGUAAGGUGAAAGUGACUAUACACUCACAUGAUUUAACGAUAACCAGGCAGCAGUUCGUUGCCUAAAACGAUAGUUUCUAAUAAAACCGGGAGUUUUAUUGAGAAACCGGGCUCUGCGAGGGUCGGGCUUCGAAACUGAAAAAAUAAAUUUCUCGGGCUUCUCGGGCACUCCGGGAUGUGUUCCGGGCGUUGGAAAUGAUCUCGGGGCUUCGGGGGAUGUGGAAAUAGCCAAAAUAUUGAAAAAGGGGUGAAAAAUGAGAAUUUUCCAAAAGUAGUCAGAAGAUCUCGCAACCCUUCUAUUUAUAGGGGAGAUCCAAAGGUCGGCUGAGAAGGUGAGUCAGCAGCGAGGGCAGGUGGCAUCAGGAGGCGAAGGCACGUGGUCGGAUCCGGAGGAAGACACGCGUCGGACACGUCUCGCAUGAGAGGGCUCGCCACCUAGGCACACGCGUCGGAUCCUUAUUGGACCACUUCAGACCUGUCAAUAGAUCAGAACACGGGGCGACACGCGGCCUGCUCCGGUUGGGCCUCCCUUUGGUCGAAUCCGGAAGCGACACGCGGCUACUUUUCAUGUGAGGUGACUCAUCAAUUUCGGACACAUGGCACGUUUUGAGUGAGGGUGACGUGGCUUUUCCAGGUGAAGCUUAUCUAUGCGAAAUUUCUCGAAUUUUGUGCCAAAAUCUUCUAAAAUUCAUAACUUUCGCAUACAAGCUCCGUUUUUGACGUUCUUUAUAUGCACGCGUAGGUAAAAUUACGCUAUACAACUUUCGUUUAGAUUUCGUCGGCUAAUUUUGACUUUAAUUUUUAUAUUAUUAUUUUUAACAGACCAGGACAGACAAUUCGUUAAAAAUUCAUAACUUCUUCAUCCGACGUCCAUUUUUGUCUGUCUUUUUACCGUUGUACUACUAUUCAAAGAUAAAGAACUCAAACUUUUCGUCGAGAGCUGCCAAUCCAACCCUUGGUAUUAGUUGCUUGCAUGUGAUAGGUAUGAUUUCUUCAACUUUAAAUUUUGGGGAUUUCUACCACUUGCAGUAUGUUAAAAUGUAUAACAUAUUCAUGGUCCAGUUGUAGGUAUGUGAGAAAACCUUUUUAUGUUUUUUUUACUGUUGUGGAUGAACUUCUAGUCGGCGUCCACUAGGUAUUCGAUGAAAUGCCUAGGUCGCUUCUUCUGUUUUGUUAUCAUCACUUUACCUAAAACUAUGCAUCUUUAUAUUAUAUCAUUUUUGAAUUUGAAUUACACAAUAGUUUUAUACUUUUAUUGCUUUAAAAGCCACUUUAUUGAUCAUCUUUCUUAUAUAAUUCAAGAACUUUGGGCUUUUGUUUAACUUUUGUUGUCCAUACCUUUUGGGAGACAAGAAAUGGUAAGAUUUCAUUUAUUUUCUUUUUGUUCUUAUUGUUAUGUUAUUUACUUAUUUAUAUCUAUUUUCUUUUCAGUUUUAAGGAAAAGUAUGA